UAUGUGAUCGUCUCUCGCAUAUCAAUAAGCGGAGGAAAAGAAACUAACAAGGAUUCCCUUAGUAACGGCGAGUGAAGCGGGAAGAGCUCAAAUUUGAAAUCUUCAAGGUUUUACCUUGACGAAUUGUAGUUUAAAGAAGUGUUUUCUGUUGAAGUUUUGGUAAAAGUUCUUUGGAAUAGGACAUCAUAGAGGGUGAGAAUCCCGUAUUUGACCAUUAUUUUCAGCUGUGUGAUACACUUUCAAAGAGUCGGAUUGUUUGGGAAUGCAGUCCAAAAUGGGUGGUAAAUUUCAUCUAAAGCUAAAUAUUGGCGAGAGAUCGAUAGCGAACAAGUACCGUGAGGGAACGAUGAAAAGAACUUUGAAAAGAGAGUUAAACAGUACGUGAAAUUGUCAAAAGGGAAGCGUUUGACACCAGUGUUGUUUUCUCGAAAAUCAAUUAAAAAGAGUUAGAUUUUGUUGUGUAUUGACCUUAACAGCUUGCAUUUCAAUUUUCUUGCUUUUUUUAAUGCACUUUUCGUUUAACAAGUCAACAUCAGUUUCUUUUGUUGUAAAAAGGUCAUUGGAAGGUGGCUUUCUUUUCGGAGAAAGUGUUUAUAGCCUUUGACUCCUGCAAUCGGAGAGACUGAGGUCUGCAGCGUAGAUCCUUCGGGGUUAGAUACAUUUGUGCUAAGUUAUAGCUUUUUAUAGACAACUUGUUGACUAUGAUUAGUCUUGUAGCUUACUCGCUUAUGCUAUUUUACCUACGCUUAGGAUGUUGAAGAUGUAGCACAACAU
This 774-nucleotide ribosomal RNA is filed under the name uncultured Neocallimastigales. RNAcentral describes it as "partial large subunit ribosomal RNA". It matches the Rfam family "Eukaryotic large subunit ribosomal RNA", at positions 24 to 622 of the family's 3401-position model. Lineage: Eukaryota; Fungi; Neocallimastigomycota; Neocallimastigomycetes; Neocallimastigales. The record is from RNAcentral.